AGCGAACGCUGGCGGCAGGCUUAACACAUGCAAGUCGAACGGGCAUAGCAAUAUGUCAGUGGCAGACGGGUGAGUAACGCGUGGGAACGUACCUUUUGGUUCGGAACAACACAGGGAAACUUGUGCUAAUACCGGAUAAGCCCUUACGGGGAAAGAUUUAUCGCCGAAAGAUCGGCCCGCGUCUGAUUAGCUAGUUGGUAGGGUAAUGGCCUACCAAGGCGACGAUCAGUAGCUGGUCUGAGAGGAUGAUCAGCCACAUUGGGACUGAGACACGGCCCAAACUCCUACGGGAGGCAGCAGUGGGGAAUAUUGGACAAUGGGCGAAAGCCUGAUCCAGCCAUGCCGCGUGAGUGAUGAAGGCCCUAGGGUUGUAAAGCUCUUUUGUGCGGGAAGAUAAUGACGGUACCGCAAGGAUAAGCCCCGGCUAACUUCGUG
RNAcentral lists this ribosomal RNA (435 nucleotides) under uncultured bacterium. RNAcentral's name for it is "partial 16S ribosomal RNA". It matches the Rfam family "Bacterial small subunit ribosomal RNA", at positions 29 to 507 of the family's 1533-position model. The record is from RNAcentral.